GCAUAGGACAACUGUAGAUACACAUAGAAACACAGUUUUUCUAAAUGUGAGACUUAAGCUUGUGAUGUGGAACAGGAAGUGUUACUUGGAAUUAUAGAAGCUAAUCAAUGGAAUAUACAAUUUUGAAGUUACAAGGAUUUGAAUCUUCAAACUCCUUUAGAUAAUUUUUAGAAUUGUUUUUAUUAUUUAGGAUGUGUGAAGAGGUUGCCCAUUUGACAAAAUAUCCAUUAAAUCAGAGGUUUAAACAACUUUUUAGAGUGUGAUAGUAGAGAUGUUUUUAGAUAAUAUUGAAAUUUCAUAGUAAGUUUAUAGAGGGUUUUUGGUCCAUGAGCUUCUAAGCAUAUUUUAUCAGUUCUUAGAGCAUGAAUGCAAUGAAGAAAGUAAGUAGUCUUGAAGAUUAUUUAAGUAAGUUGUUAGAUUUUUUGAGUGCCCACCAGGAAUAUAUACCAGUGAUCUUUGGAUCCUCAGCCAAAGAAAGAAAUCAAAGUUAGUUCAACGUCAGCCUUGUUAACUUGAAUCUUCCUAUUUUUGCAUUAAAAAAUGUUGAAGAGACCCUGGAAACUUCAUAUUUGAAGAAUUACCCCGCAGCCAUUUUUUUCUAAUUAUAAAAUCUAUUAGUAUUGUGUAUGAAUAUAACAUUUCUUAGUGUAAGUAUACUCUUUAAUAGGUGUUUUCAUCAAUUGCUUUACUUUUUCGAAGGCUAGACUUAGUGCAUAUUUAGUAUAUUUAUGUACAAAUAAUUCUUAUUUAUCAGAACAUUCUCAUCCAGUGGACUAGAUGUCUAUACUCUGUAUACCUCAAUUUAAAGGAAAUAUCACUUAAGAAAAUUUUGUUUUCUGUAGAUUGAGACGUGAUGACUUUGAGAAGUAAUUCAAUUAAUCAAAAAGCACAUAAAGCUUUAAAAGUACGCCUAUUGCAAAAAGAUGCUCUGUCAUCUUAGAAAAAUGCACAUUAAAUUCAUUCAAGUCCGGAGUGUUCAAACACUUCCUGAGGAUCUCUUUGAGCUAAGGCCUGAGCCUUGGAAAACAGCCACACUCAGGAACUGGUGGAGGAAGAGGAGCCAUCAAGGAAGCGGCCAUAGAAACCAUAGAAAGUGUCAAGAUGGUGACGAACGUCAAAUGCAGUAGAACGGUUAAGUUGGAUGAAAAGAAAAAGCUAUUGAUUUUGGCAAUAAAGAUGUCUCUACUGAUCUUUGUAA
This 1198-nucleotide long non-coding RNA is filed under the name Equus asinus (donkey). RNAcentral's name for it is "lncRNA (ENSEASG00005035498.1)". The record is from RNAcentral. Lineage: Eukaryota; Metazoa; Chordata; Mammalia; Perissodactyla; Equidae.